RNAcentral lists this long non-coding RNA (326 nucleotides) under Helianthus annuus (common sunflower). RNAcentral's name for it is "sRNA HanXRQr2_Chr17g0783081". The record is from RNAcentral. Lineage: Eukaryota; Viridiplantae; Streptophyta; Magnoliopsida; Asterales; Asteraceae.
GUAUAAGCAUAACGUGUAUUAAAAAUGAGCAUAAAUGUGAGCACAAUUUGAGCACAAACGAAUGACGUGAGUAUAGACGCAAUUCGUAUAAAUGAGAGUACAAACAAAAGUACGAGUUACGAGUGUGAAUACGAGUAUAAAUAUGAGUAUAAACACAAGAUGCAUGAGUAUGGAUGUAAAUGUGAAAAUUAAGUGUAAAACAUGAAUGUUUAAGUAUGAAUAAAAUACAUGUGUAUGAGUAUAAGUGUAACAAAGUUGUAGAAGUGCAAAUGAAAACAUAACUCGUAUGAAUAUGAAUACGAAUGUAGUAUAGACAUGAAUGUAAG